CCUACGGUGUGCAGCAGUGGGGAAUAUUGGACAAUGGGCGAAAGCCUGAUCCAGCCAUGCCGCGUGUGUGAAGAAGGCCUUCGGGUUGUAAAGCACUUUCAGUGGGGAAGAAAGCCUUGGGGCUAAUACCCUCGAGGAAGGACAUCACCCACAGAAGAAGCACCGGCUAACUCCGUGCCAGCAGCCGCGGUAAUACGGAGGGUGCGAGCGUUAAUCGGAAUUACUGGGCGUAAAGCGCGCGUAGGCGGUCUGAUAAGCCGGUUGUGAAAGCCCCGGGCUCAACCUGGGAACGGCAUCCGGAACUGUCAGGCUAGAGUGCAGGAGAGGAAGGUAGAAUUCCCGGUGUAGCGGUGAAAUGCGUAGAGAUCGGGAGGAAUACCAGUGGCGAAGGCGGCCUUCUGGACUGACACUGACGCUGAGGUGCGAAAGCGUGGGUAGCAAACAGGAUUAGAUACCCCAGUAGU
Molecule: ribosomal RNA, 464 nt
Filed under: Vreelandella stevensii
Lineage: Bacteria; Pseudomonadati; Pseudomonadota; Gammaproteobacteria; Oceanospirillales; Halomonadaceae
Description: partial 16S ribosomal RNA
Rfam family: Bacterial small subunit ribosomal RNA
Source: RNAcentral